Long non-coding RNA from Solea solea (common sole), 678 nucleotides. RefSeq lists it as uncharacterized. The record is from RefSeq and is a predicted model, not a curated record. NCBI's taxonomy places the organism in Eukaryota, Metazoa, Chordata, Actinopteri, Pleuronectiformes, Soleidae. The transcript has 3 exons.
UGCACCUGCUUGGGUGAACUCACCCUAAUUCACCCAUUAAUGAUAAUUCUUUUGUUUUUACGCUGUGCUUCUGUUUCCUUGUGCAGUCUGAGAAAAGUGUUGACGUGGCACCAGAAUCAAAGACAAAAGAAGAAAACAAAACACACUCGACACUUCUACCUGAAUAUGGGCUUCCUUUGGGCCCAGGAAAAAUGCUAAGCUUUCAGGCCAAAGAUGAUCAUGAGGCUACAGACGAUAAAGGGAGAAUUAAAUGGGUAACAAAGUGGCCAGAUACAAGACCAGUCUCAGAGGGAGAAGUUUUAACGGUGAAGAAGGACGGCUAUUACUUCCUAAAUCUUCAGGUGACACUGUGUUCAUGUGAAGAAAAUCACACAGUCAGCCUGAAGUGGAACGGCACACCCCUCCUGCAAGGGCGGACUCAUACAGAGUCAUGCAGCACUGGCCUCCUGGGCAAGGUAGAAGUGCUUUCUGCGGGAGGGACCCUAGAGGUCACCAUUAACCCUAACAUGUGUGUUAAUACCAGUGCAUAUUUAACACACCUGGAUAUUAUCUACAUGCUCAAGCUUUAGUUGCAGCUUGGAAAAAAGAAUAUAUCUAUCCCGAAUCCAUGGCAGAACCCAGGACGUCCGUCCAACCCCAAAGGACCCAAAGACCCUGGUCACAUUCACUGAUGGCAUC